CACUGCGUAUCUGUUGCAUGAAAAUAUAACAGACAAGGACUCACUCACAAACUUUGGCUCUCCAAGGAAUUCCUGUCCUGAUACGAGGAACACCGCGUACUUUGGAGACACAAAAUUAGUGAUUAUUCCGUGUCACCACUGAACGACACUCACAACAAAAGCGAUGAUCAAAGGCGUCCACUGAACACGCUGUAUCCAUGCCUAGUCCUUGAGGCUCCUGAAUAUUAUCUGCCAUAGGUUACGACUUAUACGAGUACAGCAGAGUCUCGAAUCCCUUCAGAGACAUUUUCACCUUCAACCGCAUCGCUGCUUCCUCGUCGCAUGUUUCUCCCGGUGUGUCGGUCUGCUUGCUCUGAACCUUGCGUCACAUCUUCUUGACCCAUUUGUGGAUCAGCGGAAUUGCCAAGAUGACGAUUCUUCGAAUUGUUGACAUCAGGAAUUUUUUCCAACUGCAAGCACGCUUGUUUUUUCUGGGCGCUUCUUGACUCACUGAAAUCAUCUUUGAGGGAAUCGAUUGGAACCGUGAGACCAGAAGCCGCUGCUGAAGGCAACUCGGUCGUUGUCUGCAGUAAGUUGUGGUGCGGACUGUAAAGGUGUUGUGGAAUCUCCAGAGACUCCGCAAGCUUCUGCAGCUCUGCAAAACUCAACCCUAGCGCCGCCUUGCCCAACAUUUCCGCCGAAUCAUCGUCGAACGAGUUUCGAUUCACCGCUGCAGGCCGGUCGGCCUUGGAGUCUUUUACUCUUUUAGGCGCGACAACAUUCGCUUCUUGUCUUGCGCUGCCAUCGGACAAUCCUGCCGCGGAUAGGGAACAUGAGAAAACCGACUCCACAGCUCGACAGCCAAGGAUUUGCGAGAACACGAUUCAUCUGGAGACGCAGAGCCCUGAUACAGUGGUCCGGACGGCAGUGUAAGCCGAAGCGCACUGCGAGCCUUGUCCGCGCCUUCGGGGACGGACCAAUUCGGACCUCGCGGUCGAGCUCUCUUUUUGAGGGCACCCGGCAGCUGAGACUCCGCUUCCACACACUCAUGCUUGUCUAAGGCAUGACCACGAGGAAAGAUUGGCGCCAAGAGCUGCUGCCCAUAAGAGGCAGCGCAGCCUUCUGCAGAUCCUACAGUGCCAACGCCGUUUACAUUUCCCGUAGAAAACGAGUCAGCACCUGCGUAGGUCGAACUACGCAGCACUGCAGUGGCGGGGUGGUCGAGUCCCAGAUGCCGCUGGCCAAUUUCUCCACCUGACAGUACGGCUUCCAAACCGAGCGGGCUCGGAGGCCGCACAGCGGGGCGGACGCGUCGUGAGCGGACCAUGUGCUGGAGGCUAUCUCCAUCACUUCCAGUUUGUGAGGAACUGGGGGACUUGGCGUUAGUCGAUCCUUCCCGGAGGAUACGACUCAGGUCUUGCGUCGAGGGCGCAUUCACGUCACCUGAGACAGCCGAAGCAAGCGGUCCUGUUGCGAAUGCUUCGGGCUCGUCCCAGUCCACCAUCUGAUCAGGGUUCCCUAAUGCCUCCAGUUGAGAGCGAACGUCGCGAUUCCCUCGGUCAUCUACAGCUGAGGUGGUGCUAGGGGUUCGACGGAACGGCGGCACUCUCCAGGGUAAGCCUGUCCCCAGAAGGGAACUUUUAUGCAGAAGCGUCAGCUGCUGCUGCGCCUCUACGACACUCUGUUGCACUGCUGCGAUCCCUCUCAGCAUGUCUUUCGCUUCAGUCAGGAGUGACCACAGGGCUUGGAAACCGUGGCUGCCGUUGGUGUCAAGAAGUUGUGAGACAUCGUCGUCCAAGAAAAGCCUGCGCCCGUCCUUACCAGACACAAACGGUGCCAGUCCAUCAGUCGACGGACUGCCACGCCUUAAGGUGUGCUCCCCUGUCAGGCGCUGUGGCGGAUCAUCCUUGGACAUGCGGCCCAGAGAAUCCUGUCGAUCUGGAGAGGAAGGCAGAUUAUCGGUCGAGCAACCGGUGGUUGUGUCUGGCGUAGCGUGGCCGGGUUUUGACUCGGAAUUCGAUGUGCAGUAAUCAGGAGCACCGCGAGGAGUUGUAGUUGAACUUGUAGUCAGCUUGUCAGCGAGUCUUUCCGAGCACUUCUUGUCCCCUGAUUCGGAAGAGGCUGCCCAUGCAGCGGUUUCUAGCAGGGAAUUCAAUGGACACCAUGCGCCAUCCCCAGUUUGAAGCCGUGACACCGCGUUGCUUCCCAAGCAGCUGACUUCCCCGUUGCCUGUGAACCCGGAAGACCUGCAGGGAGAAAUCACGAACACACACUGCUGGGUGAUACCAUGGGUACUGUACCAAAAAAAUUGAUUGAUGGAGGCCCAGAAGAGCGGAAUUGUGUGUGUGAAGGCGAUUCCGCCUCGAAUAGAAUUUCUGUCAACCCCAAAACGAUGCAAAACAUAUUAUAUACGUUGCUAAGAGUAUACGCACAGGUACACACACACUUUUGAAGCACAAUACACUCCUUUGCCUGUCGUCUUUGAAUUGGCUAUUGGACACCCAUUAUCGUAAAGAAGAGUCGGAGUCGUCGAACGCCUUCUUGAACACAUUCGAGUUGUGUCUCCACUCUAUUAAUGCCACGAUGAGCACACUUACGUUGACGUGUCGCUUGUAAUUUUUCUUGGAUAGCCGCAGUUCUCCGCCAAUACAUUCGGGAC
Molecule: long non-coding RNA, 2638 nt
Filed under: Toxoplasma gondii VEG
Lineage: Eukaryota; Apicomplexa; Conoidasida; Eucoccidiorida; Sarcocystidae
Source: RNAcentral